RNAcentral lists this ribosomal RNA (459 nucleotides) under uncultured bacterium. RNAcentral describes it as "partial 16S ribosomal RNA". It matches the Rfam family "Bacterial small subunit ribosomal RNA", at positions 338 to 795 of the family's 1533-position model. The record is from RNAcentral.
CCUACGGGGGACUGCAGUGAGGAAUAUUGGUCAAUGGCCGAGAGGCUGAACCAGCCAAGUCGCGUGAGGGAAGACGGCCCUACGGGUUGUAAACCUCUUUUGUCGGGGAGCAAAGCGAACCACGUGUGGUUCAUUGAGAGUACCCUAAGCAAAAGCAUCGGCUAACUCCGUGCCAGCAGCCGCGGUAAUACGGCGGAUGCGAGCGUUAUCCGGAUUUCUUGGGUUUAAAGGGUGCGCAGGCGGAGGUGAAAGUCAGCGGUAAAAUUGCGGGGCUCAACCCCGUACUGCCGUUGAAUCUGCAUCCCUUAAGUGCGCGAGAAGAGUGCGAAAUGCGUGGUGAAGCGGGUAAAUGCAUAGAAACCACGAAGAACUCCGAUUGCGAAGGCAGCAAACAGGCGCGCAACUAACGCUCAUGCACGAAAGCGUGGGAAUCGACCAGGAUUAGAUACCCCAGUAGUC